UCCGGGGGCAGGAGGUUCGACUCGAGCGCAGCGAGAGAACGUUGCGUCAGCAACGGCCCGCAGGGCGAGCCACGCAGUGGCGAGUCAUCCUCUAUCACCGACCA
RNAcentral lists this small RNA (104 nucleotides) under Salmonella enterica subsp. enterica serovar Reading. Its description in RNAcentral is "partial RtT sRNA". It matches the Rfam family "RtT RNA", at positions 28 to 130 of the family's 130-position model. From Rfam's summary of the family: This family represents a bacterial cis-regulatory element known as RtT RNA. The exact function of RtT is unknown although it is thought that it may be involved in changing the cellular response in relation to amino acid starvation. Lineage: Bacteria; Pseudomonadati; Pseudomonadota; Gammaproteobacteria; Enterobacterales; Enterobacteriaceae. The record is from RNAcentral.